This 253-nucleotide ribosomal RNA is filed under the name uncultured bacterium. RNAcentral's name for it is "partial 16S ribosomal RNA". It matches the Rfam family "Bacterial small subunit ribosomal RNA", at positions 524 to 776 of the family's 1533-position model. The record is from RNAcentral.
UACGUAGGGGGCUAGCGUUGCUCGGAAUCACUGGACGUAAAGCGCACGUAGGCGGAUUGUUAAGUCAGGGGUGAAAUCCUGGAGCUCAACUCCAGAACUGCCUUUGAUACUGGCGAUCUUGAGUCCGGGAGAGGUGAGUGGAACUGCGAGUGUAGAGGUGAAAUUCGUAGAUAUUCGCAAGAACACCAGUGGCGAAGGCGGCUCACUGGCCCGGUACUGACGCUGAGGUGCGAAAGCGUGGGGAGCAAACAGG